Molecule: ribosomal RNA, 119 nt
Filed under: Pteropus alecto (black flying fox)
Lineage: Eukaryota; Metazoa; Chordata; Mammalia; Chiroptera; Pteropodidae
Source: RNAcentral
GUCUAUGGCCAUGCCACCCUAAACAUGCCUGAUCCCGUCUCAUCUCAGAAGCUAAGCAGGGUCGGGCCUGGUUAGUACUUGGAUGGGAGACCACCUAGGAAGACCAGGUCCUGUAGGUG